This 888-nucleotide ribosomal RNA is filed under the name Triticum aestivum (bread wheat). RNAcentral's name for it is "partial small subunit ribosomal RNA". Lineage: Eukaryota; Viridiplantae; Streptophyta; Magnoliopsida; Poales; Poaceae. The record is from RNAcentral.
CAUCGGGCUGCUCGUGUGCGCGUGGCUGCGCGGUGGAGUUGCUGGGCAUAGCCCGCGCGGCUUGUGGGCGCAGGGGCGGCGCGGCCCGUGCGGCUUGCGAGCACUGGUGGCAGCAUGGCGGCGCGGCCGCGCGCGUCGCUGCCGUGAGAUGCUGCGGGAGGACGCGGGCUCCCCCUGGAGGACGCGGGCUCCCCCUGGAGGACGGCCCCUGGCUUGGACGCGGUCGGAUCUGGCGGCUGGGGGUCAGGAGGCGGCUUGGCUGGCGACGGGGUCGGCGUUGCUGCUGACCAUAAACCGUGCGGGAGAAGUGGUGGGAGACGAAUGGCACCCUUGCUCGGUGUUGCAUCCUCCUGAUGGUGGUUCGGAAAGCUUGAUGCUGCUGCGGGUGAGAGAACAAGAUGGGUGAUGGCUGGAGGGAGAGGAAUGGCGUCGUGGUGGUUGUUGCAUCCUUCGUCGGGAGAUGAAUGGCCGGCAGACGUUGCAUCCUCGAGGAGACGAAUGGCGUCCUGCUUGAUUGCAUUCUUUCGAUGGGAGAAGAAUGGCGCCGCUGCGGGAGUUGCAUCCUCCGUCCAGUGGGAGACGCGGAUGCAAGGUGGAAAGCACGUCUUGCUUGCCGGGGAGGUGCGGUUGGCCGUGGAGGCAGGGGUAGUGUUUUGAUGUGUAGGCUGAUCAGAUCCUGGACUCGAGCUGUGUAGGUGAGACGGCCGGCGAAAGUCGUACUCCGGCUGUGUCCGGAGUCGUCGAUGGCGGCGCCUUCUGGCGUCGCUCCCUCGUUGGAGGCAUCGAUGUAGCUGCUCCCACCUUGCUUUUCCUGUCGUGCUCCGGGGGAAAUCUUUAAUCUAGUUUAGAUCAGACGAUGGCGGCGCUAUCUGGCGUCGCGUUCCCUCU